This 254-nucleotide ribosomal RNA is filed under the name uncultured bacterium. Its description in RNAcentral is "partial 16S ribosomal RNA". It matches the Rfam family "Bacterial small subunit ribosomal RNA", at positions 524 to 776 of the family's 1533-position model. The record is from RNAcentral.
GACAGAGGGUGCAAACGUUGUUCGGAAUUACUGGGCGUAAAGCGCGUGUAGGCGGCUUUGCAAGUCGGGUGUGAAAGCCCUCAGCUUAACUGAGGAAGUGCGCCCGAAACUGCAUUGCUUGAGUACCGGAGAGGAUGGCGGAAUUCCCCAAGUAGAGGUGAAAUUCGUAGAUAUGGGGAGGAACACCGGUGGCGAAGGCGGCCAUCUGGACGGAGUACUGACGCUGAGACGCGAAAGCGUGGGUAGCAAACAGG